GGUGGUUCUUGGAUGACGCACCCCGGAACCAGAAAGGAGGGAGCCUGAUUCCAGGGUGCAUCACCCGAGAACUGCC
Myotis brandtii (Brandt's bat) is the source of this 76-nucleotide non-coding RNA. Lineage: Eukaryota; Metazoa; Chordata; Mammalia; Chiroptera; Vespertilionidae. The record is from Rfam.